This 524-nucleotide long non-coding RNA is filed under the name Zostera marina. RNAcentral describes it as "long non-coding RNA (ZMAR_LNC000874)". Lineage: Eukaryota; Viridiplantae; Streptophyta; Magnoliopsida; Alismatales; Zosteraceae. The record is from RNAcentral.
AGGAAGAAAUUAAAGAAUAAGAAAAUGUCGGAAUGUGAUGAUGAUGCAUCAGAGCCAGAGGUAUGCAGUAAAUAUAUAUCUUGUUCAAUUCUCUGCAAUAAAUUAAUGUUACAUAUUUUAUCAUUUAACUCUCACUGGCGGCAGAUCAAUAAUCUAAAUCUGGGUAAUGAGGACAUACCAGAAUCGUCGUUGUCUCAUGUCAAUCUUGAAGAUAAAGAUGACUUCAGUGUUUGGAUAGAUCACAAGAUAACGCAAUACAAAGAACAAAAGUAAAAAAUAAAUAAAUAAAGACGUGAUUUCGAUCAUCAGGUUUAUUUGCAUGUUCAAUUCAUACCUAAAAAAAUACUUAUUGUCUGGUGUUUAAUAAUUUGGAUUUCUUAUUUUCUAUUUUCACUCUUCUCUCUCUAAAUUCUUAUUUUGGGCAAUAUUGUUUGUUACCUAUAUUUUAUGAGAUUUACAAGUGAUGUUUCAUUCACCGAUGAUUAUUAUUGAUUGAUGAUGGCAGAGGUAUUUAUAGUACAACA